GUAGCCUCUAAAUUACUUCCUGCAACAAGGUUUGAUGCUGCGUGUCCAUAUAUGUCUGAUUCUGAAGAAACAGGAUUAACUACAGAAGGUGUAGAUUCAGUGGAGGGUUGUAGUGGUGCUGCAGUUGGAGCAGGAGCUUGAGUAGUUGUUGCUGGUUGUGUUGCACUAGUAGGCAAAGAACUUGCAGGUUGGGCUUGGCUUGGAGGUGCAGCCGAAGCAGUUGAUGCUCCACUUGAUGAAACCUUGCUCUUGCUUAACAUUAUGACAAUAAAACUAUUUUCAGCAACUUUAUUUUCUUCCAAAGUUGUGCCAUCUUUAAGAACUUUCCCCUG
Molecule: unclassified non-coding RNA, 332 nt
Filed under: Hevea brasiliensis (rubber tree)
Lineage: Eukaryota; Viridiplantae; Streptophyta; Magnoliopsida; Malpighiales; Euphorbiaceae
Source: RNAcentral